This is a non-coding RNA of Sus scrofa (pig), 689 nucleotides long. NCBI's taxonomy places the organism in Eukaryota, Metazoa, Chordata, Mammalia, Artiodactyla, Suidae. The record is from RefSeq and is a predicted model, not a curated record.
ACCAGUGACCAAAAGAGGGAACUGCAGCAGAUGAGCCGCGAUCAGGGGUUUUGGCCAGGUCUCGUUAAGAAACAAGUGACAAACCCAGAUCAAGCCAGCUGGAGCGAGAAGGGACAGCUCUGCGCAGCAGCUGCCAAGCGCAAGAGGGCCGCGCCCCCGCGCCAGAGCUUGUUCUUCUCUCCACUUUUUGACUCUCCUUGGGUCUAAUUCUUUCCCAUCAUAGAUGUAAAGGCCUUCAGAAAUGCCAGGGAAGUGUGACUUCCUCCCCUCAGGCUCACGGCUCUGCCCACAGGAGACCCUAACUGACCUUGGACCACACCAGCGCUGAGGGAGGAAGCGGCCGGAGAAGGUCUGCGUGAACCAGGGGUGGUGGCUGGGAGAGAGGCCCCCGAAACGCCAGAAGCUGGGUGGGGCUGCGCAAGCAUGAAAGAAUCUUGACACUCAGGGAUCGUGAUGAUUAACGUUCUGGCCUCUUACCUUGGACACACAUACACACAUUCUGCGGCCUGUGGAGUGAAGUGACACCACCCUGGAGGUACCCUUGUGCCAGUGAAGUGGUCACAAAAUGUUUGGAAACAGUACCUGUUUGCCUCAUCUGCAAAAUGGGGAUGAGAUGAAAAUACUAAGGACCUCACAUGGUUGUCUGGAGGACCACGCGUAUGCUUAGCUCUUAUCAUACGGCCCCUCGG